This 253-nucleotide ribosomal RNA is filed under the name uncultured bacterium. Its description in RNAcentral is "partial 16S ribosomal RNA". It matches the Rfam family "Bacterial small subunit ribosomal RNA", at positions 524 to 776 of the family's 1533-position model. The record is from RNAcentral.
UACGUAGGGGGCAAGCGUUUUCCGGAAUCAUUGGGCGUAAAGCGCGUGUAGGCGGCCCGAUAAGUCCGCUGUGAAAGUCCAGGGCUCAACCCUGGGAUGCCGGUGGAUACUGUCGGGCUCGAGUCCGGAAGAGGCGAGUGGAAUUCCUGGUGUAGCGGUGAAAUGCGCAGAUAUCAGGAGGAACACCAAUGGCGAAGGCAGCUCGCUGGGACGUGACUGACGCUGAGACGCGAAAGCGUGGGGAGCAAACAGG